UUGUAGUCAAAAUUAAGCCAGUCAUGCUCUUUUCUCCAGGAAGUGUGGGUUCAAAGUCUGUAGACAGCUGUCUCCUCUGUAGUACACACCACAUGUUGCCAAUGUAGGAUGCCUGAGGGACAUUGGACAAAGUC
Molecule: small nucleolar RNA, 134 nt
Organism: Sorex fumeus (smoky shrew)
Lineage: Eukaryota; Metazoa; Chordata; Mammalia; Eulipotyphla; Soricidae
Product: small nucleolar RNA SNORA70
Exons: 1
Source: RefSeq, a predicted model, not a curated record